GUGACCUCAAAUCAGGUAGGACUACCCGCUGAACUUAAGCAUAUCAAUAAGCGGAGGAAAAGAAACUAACAAGGAUUCCCCUAGUAACUGCGAGUGAAGCGGGAAAAGCUCAAAUUUAAAAUCUGGCGGUCUUUUGGCUGUCCGAGUUGUAAUCUAGAGAAGUGUUAUCCGCGCUGACG
This 179-nucleotide ribosomal RNA is filed under the name Cortinarius sp. KGP42. RNAcentral describes it as "partial 28S ribosomal RNA". It matches the Rfam family "Eukaryotic large subunit ribosomal RNA", at positions 1 to 175 of the family's 3401-position model. Lineage: Eukaryota; Fungi; Basidiomycota; Agaricomycetes; Agaricales; Cortinariaceae. The record is from RNAcentral.